This 640-nucleotide unclassified non-coding RNA is filed under the name Pocillopora damicornis (cauliflower coral). RNAcentral describes it as "adenosine receptor A2b-like, transcript variant X1". The record is from RNAcentral. Lineage: Eukaryota; Metazoa; Cnidaria; Anthozoa; Scleractinia; Pocilloporidae.
UUAUAGCAGUGCGCAACGAGUGAAAGAUCGCGGACUAUCCACCUUAAUUAUAAUUGGGUUUUCACUAAGAUAAUUUGCACACAAGAUGUGAUGAAAAAGAAGCUCAAUUACCGCUUUUAUGAAGAAAAGUAGUUUUGAAACAUUUCAUAUUUGUUGAAUUGUUUUAAUAUGUAGAUACUUUGCACACAGGAUGUGAGAAGUUCGUUAAAGCUUUAGAGCGUAGACAUCAAACUUUGGAAUACGCUUUUUAAGCCUUGAAAGAAUUACGUGACUCUUUAAUAAACCUUUCGGUGGUACAAGACAAUAGCGGGUUUUCUAGACUGAGCUAAGAAAACACCGACCAGACAAUCAAAAUCCAGUUACUGGCCAGACAAAGACAUUAUUAUGAUUCAUACCUAAUAGGAUAUCCUACCUUUCAUAUAAGAUUUAUUUUAUGUCGACCUGUGUCUUUUUAAAAAAACAUAUGUUGCAAAGUAAGCGUCCUUAAAGAAUCAUCAAAUUAAAAAAAAACCGCAAAACAUAAUAAAAAAGGAUAAGAAAUGGCAGGAUAUCACUGAUGACAGCAUGGACGGAAGCAUGCCAGAAUGGUGACGUCAGUGUCAACGUAAUGUCCUUUGAACAACUUCAGAACACAAAGUGA